GGGGAUUCGGCUUAGCCGCGCCCGCCAGGUGACCUCACGGCUGGCCGGCCCGCCCGCGUGACGUCACGUCCCGCGCGGAGCCCACCGCCUCCGAGUGACGUCAUCAGGGAUCCUGCGUUGUGGACCCGCAGAGCUCUGGGUCUGCGGACCGCCAUUUGUGAGGCGGUCCAGACUACGUUACAAUGACUCAGAAGUUGUUUGGUGGCUUUCUGACCUUUAAGUAAUCGAGGCUUAAAACAAUACUGUCAGGAAAAAUAAGCAGGUGACUAGAAGAGGAAAGGAAAAGAAAGGAUUUCAUGUUAACAAUCCAUGGGGUGGCUUUGCCAUUCAGUAAUAGUAAAGAAAUAGGAUUGAGUUCUGGAUAAUUGGGAUGAGGAGCAGGGUCCCUGAAAUGAACCCAUCACAGUCUGUGGUAGCAAUGGUUCCCUCUAACACAACCCAUCAUUUGGUACCUGACUGAAUGUUAUCUGUGACUAUGCAGCAGGCCCAGUUUGGGAGAACCCACUACUGUAGGUAGCACUGAGUUGUCUUGAAAGAUGUGUGGCCACCUUGUGAGGAAGAGGAAGUUAGAAAGUCACACCUGAGAAGACAUGAGGACAGGGGAUCACCGGGAAGAGUUUCAUGUGGUCUCCUUUCUGCAGCUAUGUUCUGCCUUUUCACAGGCCAGGCCCUUCCCAUCCCUGAGAUCUCAGCCCAAAUACGUAUAUCACUUCCUUCAAAGUGAUCCCAAAGACAUCUUCCCAGAAAAGCAGCCAGAAGUAUUGCCCUUUAUUUUCUUUAUCUACCUCUAAUUAUGUUGGCAUUCGACAUGUUUACUUAUUUCUUGUCUGUCUUUCUCUUGCUCCAAUAAAAU
This 853-nucleotide long non-coding RNA is filed under the name Marmota monax (woodchuck). Lineage: Eukaryota; Metazoa; Chordata; Mammalia; Rodentia; Sciuridae. The record is from RNAcentral.